RNAcentral lists this ribosomal RNA (1294 nucleotides) under Salmonella enterica. RNAcentral's name for it is "partial 23S ribosomal RNA". It matches the Rfam family "Bacterial large subunit ribosomal RNA", at positions 1467 to 2739 of the family's 2925-position model. The record is from RNAcentral. Lineage: Bacteria; Pseudomonadati; Pseudomonadota; Gammaproteobacteria; Enterobacterales; Enterobacteriaceae.
GGGGGACGGAGAAGGCUAUGUUGGCCGGGCGACGGUUGUCCCGGUUUAAGCGUGUAGGUGUGUGUUCCAGGAAAAUCCGGUUCACUUUAACACUGAGGCGUGACGACGAGGCACUACGGUGCUGAAGCAACAAAUGCCCUGCUUCCAGGAAAAGCCUCUAAGCCUCAGGUAACAUCAGAUCGUACCCGAAACCGACACAGGUGGUCAGGUAGAGAAUACCAAGGCGCUUGAGAGAACCCGGGUGAAGGAACUAGGCAAAAUGGUGCCGUAACUUCGGGAGAAGGCACGCUGACACGUAGGUGAAGCGGUUUACCCGUGGAGCUGAAGUCAGUCGAAGAUACCAGCUGGCUGCAACUGUUUAUUAAAAACACAGCACUGUGCAAACACGAAAGUGGACGUAUACGGUGUGACGCCUGCCCGGUGCCGGAAGGUUAAUUGAUGGGGUCAGCGCAAGCGAAGCUCCUGAUCGAAGCCCCGGUAAACGGCGGCCGUAACUAUAACGGUCCUAAGGUAGCGAAAUUCCUUGUCGGGUAAGUUCCGACCUGCACGAAUGGCGUAAUGAUGGCCAGGCUGUCUCCACCCGGGACUCAGUGAAAUUGAACUCGCUGUGAAGAUGCAGUGUACCCGCGGCAAGACGGAAAGACCCCGUGAACCUUUACUAUAGCUUGACACUGAACACUGGUCCUUGAUGUGCAGGAUAGGUGGGAGGCUUUGAAGUGUGGACGCCAGUCUGCAUGGAGCCGUCCUUGAAAUACCACCCUUUAAUGGCUGGUGUUCUAACGUAGACCCGUGAACCGGGUUGCGGACAGUGUCUGGUGGGUAGUUUGACUGGGGCGGUCUCCUCCUAAAGCGUAACGGAGGAGCACGAAGGUUGGCUAAUCCUGGUCGGACAUCAGGAGGUUAGUGCAAUGGCAUAAGCCAGCUUGACUGCGAGCGUGACGGCGCGAGCAGGUGCGAAAGCAGGUCAUAGUGAUCCGGUGGUUCUGAAUGGAAGGGCCAUCGCUCAACGGAUAAAAGGUACUCCGGGGAUAACAGGCUGAUACCGCCCAAGAGUUCAUAUCGACGGCGGUGUUUGGCACCUCGAUGUCGGCUCAUCACAUCCUGGGGCUGAAGUAGGUCCCAAGGGUAUGGCUGUUCGCCAUUUAAAGUGGUACGCGAGCUGGGUUUAGAACGUCGUGAGACAGUUCGGUCCCUAUCUGCCGUGGGCGCUGGAGAACUGAGGGGGGCUGCUCCUAGUACGAGAGGACCGGAGUGGACGCAUCACUGGUGUUCGGGUUGUCAUGCCAAUGGCACU